AUUGAACGCUGGCGGCAUGCCUUACACAUGCAAGUCGAACGGUAACAGGUCUUCGGAUGCUGACGAGUGGCGAACGGGUGGGUAAUACAUCGGAACGUGCCUAGUAGAGGGGGAUAACUACUCGAAAGAGUGGCUAAUACCGCAUGAGAUCUACGGAUGAAAGCAGGGGAUCGCAAGACCUUGUGCUACUAGAGCGGCCGAUGGCAGAUUAGGUAGUUGGUGGGAUAAAAGCUUACCAAGCCGACGAUCUGUAGCUGGUCUGAGAGGACGAUCAGCCACACUGGGACUGAGACACGGCCCAGACUCCUACGGGAGGCAGCAGUGGGGAAUUUUGGACAAUGGGCGCAAGCCUGAUCCAGCAAUGCCGCGUGCAGGAUGAAGGCCUUCGGGUUGUAAACUGCUUUUGUACGGAACGAAAAGCCCCGGGUUAAUACCCUGGGGUCAUGACGGUACCGUAAGAAUAAGCACCGGCUAACUACGUGCCAGCCGCCGCAGUAA
RNAcentral lists this ribosomal RNA (498 nucleotides) under uncultured bacterium. RNAcentral's name for it is "partial 16S ribosomal RNA". It matches the Rfam family "Bacterial small subunit ribosomal RNA", at positions 30 to 523 of the family's 1533-position model. The record is from RNAcentral.